CUCGCCCGGCUGAAACGCGUUAUUGGUAAUAUACUUGCAUUCUCUAUUGCAAGGUAUCUCGCCUGUAGCCAACAAGCAUCGUAUGGGCACUGCCUUCAUGCUGUACGGCACUGUCUUCCGUGUGUGUUCGGGCUGCAGCACCAGACCGCAAAGCCAACAGGCUGAAGGCUGGCAAGCUGCGAUUGUGUCUGCUGAGCGGACUUGGCGGCCGAGCCCCUGCUGUGUGCCGGUAACGGCACCUCAGGCUCAUACAUUUACGCCCAAGCAAGGGGCUGUCGGUGGCAGGUCGUGGACCUCCCGACUACGUGUAACAGCCAAUGACUCUUCACCAUGUCUGCUAGGUUCCAGGGAGACACCGUCUCUUCAAAAGGUUAUGAGCCCCAGCGUCCUGCCUCCCGUGCUCUGACAAGCAUAGCUCCCACCGCAUCAGCACUGCUGCAACAAGCACAGCUCUCAGCACGUUGGCACUACCCAUCAAUUAUCACACAUGCCGCCCUAGCACCGGCCUGUACGGAUAUAUGCAGGGGGGGCCCGCCCUUUUCCGGCUCUGAGGAAAGCCGGCGGGCUUGCAGAGGUAGCCCAAUAACGAAAAUGCUACAGCUCCAAAAUAUAUGUACAGUAGGCGUGGUAGGUGAGCCCCGGAACCCGGCAUGCACUGUGCACCGAUGACCUAGAGCACAACUGUUGCAUGCAACGCGUCUGCUGCGACUGUUGCAUUUGUCGCUCUUGUCGCCAUUGUAGCGGCUGUCGCCAUUGUAGCGGCUGUCGCCGUUGUCGCCGUUGUCGCCGUUGUCGCGACUGUCGCCGUUGUGGCAGUUGUCGCCGUUGUGGCAGUUGUCGCCGUUGUGGCAGUUGUCACCGUUGUCGCCGUUGUGGCAGUUGUAGCGGUUGUGGCUGUUAUUGCAUCAGGGACGACUGUCGUACAGCUGCAGGAAAAUGGGGCCCCUUAGCUCAGCUGGUUAGAGCGUGGUGCUAAUAGCCAUGGGCACGCCAAGGUCAUCGGUUUGAUCCCGAUAGCCACAGAGGAGCGGAAAUCUUGCUGCUUAAGGAGGAGGAGGUGGCACAAGCGAAUGUGUAUGGGCGGGGAUGCUGCUCAUGUGCAUGACGAUGCGGAUAAGUGGCAGCUCCAGGUGAAGCAAAAGGACUGAGACGGGCUCUCGCAGCCCAUGCUUAUUGGUCAUUUAUGCAGACAAACGCCCAGCAUCGACAUCCUCAUGGCUGGUCAGCAGCAGAGUGGCACGGCUCACACUGCAUGACAGUCCAGCUCUAGCUAGCAAUGCUACCAGGUGCAUGCUGGUCUACGGCGAAACAACGCCACCGGGACAUUCAUGCCAACCCCAACCCCAAAAAACAUGUGCCACAAGCUAUAGCUUAUGUCGACGCACGUUGGCCACGUGAAGCCACCUAAAAGUGCUGUGAGGGAGCUGUGACACCAAGAAUUGCUUGGAUGCAUUCAACACAUAGGGGAUCACAGCCGGGAGCGCAUAAGCAGCACAGCUCCCAUAUGUUGAGCUCUCACGUAUGCCGGUCAUCAGCUGAAAUAUAUUUGGUACUUUAAAAGAGAGAAGCCAGAGGCCAGCUAGAUAGCGGGUGGGUUUCCAUCCUCGGUCACUUGCUCGCUAGACCCUCUGCGUGAGUCCCUUUGACAGCCAGCUACCCACGCAGCAGCC
Molecule: long non-coding RNA, 1670 nt
Filed under: Volvox carteri
Lineage: Eukaryota; Viridiplantae; Chlorophyta; Chlorophyceae; Chlamydomonadales; Volvocaceae
Description: long non-coding RNA (VCAR_LNC003661)
Source: RNAcentral